CCUACGGGUGGCAGCAGUGAGGAAUAUUGGUCAAUGGGCGCGAGCCUGAACCAGCCAAGUCGCGUGAAGGAUGACUGCCCUACGGGUUGUAAACUUCUUUUAUAAAGGAGUAAAGUGAGGCACGUGUGCCUUUUUGUAUGUACUUUAUGAAUAAGGAUCGGCUAACUCCGUGCCAGCCGCCGCGGUAAUUCGGAGGAUCCGAGCGUUAUCCGGAUUUAUUGGGGUUAAAGGGGGCGUAGAUGGGUUGUUAAGUCAGUUGUGAAAGUUUGGGGCUCAACCGUAAAAUUGCAAUUGAUACUGGCAGUCUUGAGUGCGGUUGAGGUAGGCGGAAUGCGUGGUGUAGCGGUGAAAUGCAUAGAUAUCACGAAGAACUCCGAUUGCGAAGGCAGCUUACU
RNAcentral lists this ribosomal RNA (395 nucleotides) under uncultured bacterium. RNAcentral's name for it is "partial 16S ribosomal RNA". It matches the Rfam family "Bacterial small subunit ribosomal RNA", at positions 338 to 730 of the family's 1533-position model. The record is from RNAcentral.